RNAcentral lists this unclassified non-coding RNA (903 nucleotides) under Hevea brasiliensis (rubber tree). Lineage: Eukaryota; Viridiplantae; Streptophyta; Magnoliopsida; Malpighiales; Euphorbiaceae. The record is from RNAcentral.
GGUAUUUUAUUUUUCAUAUCUCAAAAGCUUUACAGGUGGGAAGUGGGCGUGAUUUGAAGAAAAACAAAGAUGGUAUUUGUGAUUAAGUCAAAGCAUAGGGUGCCAGCAUGAAUGAAAACAAUAAAAACCAGAAAAAAAUAAAAAACGAUUUCUCCUUUUCCCUCUAAUCUCUCUCUCUGUGUGUCGUGGCUCCUCGAUUUUGUUCCUGCAGAGCCCUACCUGGAUCUGUAAGUUAUUUUCAUUUUUCUUAUUAUUUAACUUAUCCGUAUAUUGUCGUAGAGAUCGAAUGCAUUCAAUUCAACCCAAUUUUGAUCUCUUUUGACGUUUUCACAUUAAGUUAUGCAUCUGCAACUUAUGAGCGAUCUCAUAAACCCUAGAUCUUGCUGUCUUCGCUUUUUUAUGGAUUUGAUUUAGGGUUUUAAUUUUUGGAUCUCGAGGUUUUGGUUGCAUUACAGCUCGAAUUUUGGGGUAUUGGAGGAGCGAGCUGUAAAUUGGGAACAAUUGAAGGGUAUAGAGGUCGUAUUUUUGUAGAUCCUUGGGGUUAAGGUUGUUAUUUUAGAUGGCUUCCAACCCUCCAUUUCAUGUGAUGGAGGAUCAGACGGAUGAGGAUUUCUUUGAUAAAUUAGUCGACGAUGAUUUUGGUCCCACCAGUUCAGGGUCGGUCCCUAAGUUCACGGAGGGCAGCGAUUCCGAUGAGGCGAAAGCGUUUGCCAAUAUGAGUAUUGAGGAUGCAAGCGGUGAAGGUGGAGUUGAUGGCAAAGAUGAGAAUGAUUUGGUGCAUGCAAGUGCAGGAUUAUCCAGUGCACAUGCUUUAGAAAGUGAUACAUUGGAUUUAUCCAACUCAUUGGGGUCCAAUACUAUAGUUGAGUCAAAAAAUGAUGGGAUUGAAUCAGAGGCUGUAUU